AUAUGCCAUUCAAGCUAAGGGGUGCUACACUUGACCACUGCGGUAGUAUAGAUGAGUCUGAAGAAUGGUAUGGGAUGGAUACUUUUGAAUGCACUGGAGUAGGGGUCUCUAUCCACAGGGCCACAGAGCCGGAGAUGAGCAGUGGCUGGAUCUACCAUGAAAGACUUCAGAGUCCGGAAAGAGAGACUGACUGGGCAGCAUGUUAUUCAGUUACAAAAAGACUUGGACUAUGACUCAAAAAUGAUCAAAUAAUAGUUCAUGCAUCAAAUGCAAUAGGAAGCAUUUCUGGAGGGUGAGAGAAGCAUCCAGUUAAGCAAGAAGAACUUUUAGUAAAUUACAUUCCUUACAGACAAACAGAAGGCAAAUAAACAAUGUUGUACAGGAACUUCAACACACACUGUACAAUAUUCCCACUUUGCUGAUGUCAGUUAUGGAAAUUCUUCGUGGUUUACUUGACUAUCGCCAUCAGUAUUUUGCAUCUCUCAUCAUUUUUGUCAACUUCCUCAUCUGCUAACUUCUCUCCAAGGGUCUUGGU
RNAcentral lists this small RNA (535 nucleotides) under Pongo abelii (Sumatran orangutan). RNAcentral describes it as "processed transcript". Lineage: Eukaryota; Metazoa; Chordata; Mammalia; Primates; Hominidae. The record is from RNAcentral.